RNAcentral lists this ribosomal RNA (250 nucleotides) under uncultured prokaryote. RNAcentral's name for it is "partial 16S ribosomal RNA". It matches the Rfam family "Bacterial small subunit ribosomal RNA", at positions 524 to 774 of the family's 1533-position model. The record is from RNAcentral.
UACGUAGGUGGCGAGCGUUAUCCGGAUUUAUUGGGCGUAAAGGGUGCGCAGACGGUUUAUUAAGUCUAAAAUUAAAUCUUGGGGCUUAACCCCAUUCCGUUUUAGAAACUGAUAGGCUUGAGUAUGGUAGAGGCAGAUGGAAUUCCUAGUGUAGUGGUAAAAUGCGUAGAUAUUAGGAGGAACACCAGCGGCGAAGGCGGAUUGCUGGACGGCAACUGACGGUGAGGCGCGAAAGUGUGGGGAGCAAACA